Molecule: ribosomal RNA, 292 nt
Filed under: uncultured bacterium
Lineage: Bacteria
Description: partial 16S ribosomal RNA
Rfam family: Bacterial small subunit ribosomal RNA
Source: RNAcentral
GUGCCAGCCGCCGCGGUAAUACGUAGGGGGCAAGCGUUGUCCGGAUUUAUUGGGCGUAAAGAGCGUGUAGGCGGUUCGGUAGGUCCGUUGUGAAAACUCGAGGCUCAACCUCGAGACGCCGAUGGAAACCAUCGAACUAGAGUCCGGAAGAGGAGAGUGGAAUUCCUGGUGUAGCGGUGAAAUGCGCAGAUAUCAGGAAGAACACCCGUGGCUAAGGCGGCUCUCUAGUACGGUACUGACGCUGAGACGCGAAAGCGUGGGGAGCGAACAGGAUUAGAAACCCGCGUAGUCC